RNAcentral lists this ribosomal RNA (727 nucleotides) under uncultured Staphylococcus sp. Its description in RNAcentral is "bacterial SSU rRNA". It matches the Rfam family "Bacterial small subunit ribosomal RNA", at positions 129 to 842 of the family's 1533-position model. Lineage: Bacteria; Bacillati; Bacillota; Bacilli; Caryophanales; Staphylococcaceae. The record is from RNAcentral.
CCUAUAAGACUGGGAUAACUUCGGGAAACCGGAGCUAAUACCGGAUAACAUUUGGAACCGCAUGGUUCUAAAGUGAAAGAUGGUUUUGCUAUCACUUAUAGAUGGACCCGCGCCGUAUUAGCUAGUUGGUAAGGUAACGGCUUACCAAGGCGACGAUACGUAGCCGACCUGAGAGGGUGAUCGGCCACACUGGAACUGAGACACGGUCCAGACUCCUACGGGAGGCAGCAGUAGGGAAUCUUCCGCAAUGGGCGAAAGCCUGACGGAGCAACGCCGCGUGAGUGAUGAAGGGUUUCGGCUCGUAAAACUCUGUUAUUAGGGAAGAACAAAUGUGUAAGUAACUAUGCACAUCUUGACGGUACCUAAUCAGAAAGCCACGGCUAACUACGUGCCAGCAGCCGCGGUAAUACGUAGGUGGCAAGCGUUAUCCGGAAUUAUUGGGCGUAAAGCGCGCGUAGGCGGUUUCUUAAGUCUGAUGUGAAAGCCCACGGCUCAACCGUGGAGGGUCAUUGGAAACUGGGAAACUUGAGUGCAGAAGAGGAAAGUGGAAUUCCAUGUGUAGCGGUGAAAUGCGCAGAGAUAUGGAGGAACACCAGUGGCGAAGGCGACUUUCUGGUCUGUAACUGACGCUGAUGUGCGAAAGCGUGGGGAUCAAACAGGAUUAGAUACCCUGGUAGUCCACGCCGUAAACGAUGAGUGCUAAGUGUUAGGGGGUUUCCGCCCCUUA